Molecule: long non-coding RNA, 1815 nt
Organism: Ictalurus punctatus (channel catfish)
Lineage: Eukaryota; Metazoa; Chordata; Actinopteri; Siluriformes; Ictaluridae
Source: Ensembl
AUUUGAGAUCGGUAUCGAGAGGACGAGAGUCUGUGAUUGGACACGGGACAGGACAGAGUACCUGGAUCAUAUUUUCCUGUUUAUUUUCAGCGCAGCUGUCCGGUGUGUCUCAGUUGCGAGUAGUUAAGCCACAGACGUCUCUGUUUAGACAGUAUGUUCGAGACGUUAGUGCAGCGCCGGAUGUGGGUCGUGAACAUGGACGUGUCAUUUUCCCCACACGUUAUAUUUCCCAGGCAGUCAUCCGCUACGGAGUAUAAGACGCACCACCUGAAUCCUGAGACAAUCUUCAUACGUGCGGUUUCAUUAAGAUAGUGGGUUUAUUUAUCUGACAUAAUGAUUACCCUGCGUCUAAAACAGACACGGACCGUGCUAGCACAGCUACAGUGGGAUUUUCCGUGUAAUUAGUGCCAAUAACUACCAUAAAUGCUGGAGUAGUACACCCUACCGUAAGAACACUAAUAAAUAUUGCAAUCAGGCUAAUGGGAAAAUGAUAACGUCCUCUGAUUUGCAUUAUAAGUUGCAGCAGAUGCUAAAGGGCAAAAAAACAUGUUUAUCGUCCGGAAAAUACAGCAUGUGCAUUCGAAGAUGCACAAUUAACUGUAAUUACGCCUCGGCGGCUUUUGUUUCUUUGUCUCCCAGCUGAAACUCUUUCUGAGAGAAACAAAAGGAGAGUGGAAAUAAAGAGAGAGAGAGAGAGAGAGAAUGAGAGACGGUAGAUUUUUGCUUUCAAUUAGAAAGGUUUUGAAGCACUUUUGUUCCAGAGGAAGCUUCCAGACAUUAAAAAAAAAAAAAAAACAAGCAGUAUCACCAGGUGACCCUUCUUUCUGGGUUUUUUUUUUUUUUUUUUUUUUUUGGUGUGUGCAUGUUUUUUAUAUAUCUUGGUAGGGACAUUAUAGGAAUAUCUCAGUUUUGACCUUACGGGACAGUUGACAGGACCCCACAAGUUUUUAUUAAAGCUACGUAGGGCUUUUAUUUAAAUAAAUAAAUAAAUAAAUAAAAAGGUUUCCAAAAAUGAAGGUUUAAGGUUAGGGUUAGGUUUAGGUGUAGCAUAGCAUUAAUUAGCUGCAUUAAUAAUUAUGUCAAUGGAAGGUCCUUACAAGGAUAGUAAGACAGACACGUGUUGUGUGUGUGUGUGUGUGUGUGUGUGUGGAUUCGUGUUUGUGUGAACUUUCCCCCAGAACAAUGCUUCAGGCACGGCUUUCAUCUCAGCAGUAACCUGUGGACUGCGUGACUCGAGGCGAUGCAAUUGCAGCUUUGUCAGUAACACUACUAAUUAGAAAAUUCCUGACCUCGAGCGAAAUGUUUAAUUAUGUGUUGUGUCAACGAGUUUGCAGAGUUAAUCCAGCCUGGAUACACACUCCAGUGCAUGCGAGACAAAAAAACAAAACAAAAAAAACAACAAAACAACAAAAAAACCACUAAGACUAACCUUGUGCUCCAGUAGCCGGUCGAGACGGCGACGGAGACCGAGACGACUGACGCUACAACUCCGGGGCUCAGACGGAGAACGGGGCGGAAAGCGGUGUCUGUUUGAGGCUAAACAAUGUGACAGACUAAGAGAGAGAGAGAGAGAGAGAGAGAGCUCGCUCAGAGGCGGUGAUUCUCAGGCGCGAAAGGCAGGAAAGGGUUAAAGAGAAAUUGAGCGGGGCUGCUGGGGGGCAGCGGCACUGCAGAACAUGGCAGUGUUCGUGCGAAGGCAAGUCAUUUCCCGAAACACUGCAGACACAGCGCCCGAGGCACUGCGAAACCUUUGGAGACCAAAAUGGCUUGCAGGAGUUAGAAGUAAUAAGGUGUUUUUUUUUUUUUUUUUUUUUU